CGUUAAUAAUGAUAAUCUAGAUUUAAGAUAACUUUUUUUCACUGUGAGAACUUAUUACGUAUGUAUAUAUGUAUGUAAAACAAUAACUGUUGCAUUCAGUCAGUGAAUAUACAGUUAUGUGACUACUUCGUGGACGAUAAUGCAAGAUUUUUCUCUGACAGUUAACAGUGUAACGUAUCACAUAAGCUAGUAAAUUAUCGACUGACAAGUUAAAUCAGAUAAUAAGUUGAUAUUCUUAAGGUCCAAUUGAUCUAAAGAUACACUUUAAUUUAUAAAUAAUUAAAGAUUAAAUCAUCAACGAUGUCAAAAAAGCCUGGAGCUACUCAAGCUAUGCAUAAAGUUAUUAUGGUUGGAAGCGGAGGCGUUGGAAAAUCUGCUCUAACUUUACAAUUUAUGUAUGACGAGUUUGUUGAAGAUUAUGAACCUACAAAGGCAGAUUCCUAUAGAAAAAAGGUUGUAUUAGAUGGAGAAGAAGUACAAAUAGAUAUCUUAGAUACCGCAGGACAAGAAGAUUAUGCAGCUAUUCGAGAUAAUUAUUUUCGCAGCGGAGAAGGAUUUCUCUGUGUAUUUUCUAUAACAGAAGAUGACAGUUUUCAAGCUACACAGGAGUUUAGAGAACAGAUUCUCAGAGUAAAAAAUGACGAGAACAUUCCAUUUUUAUUAGUGGGAAAUAAAAGUGACCUGCAAGAGAAAAGGAAAGUCAGUUUAGCAGAGGCACAAGACCGAUCACAACAGUGGGGCGUACCUUAUGUAGAAACAAGUGCAAAAACGAAGGAAAAUGUUGAUAAGGUAAGAAUUUAUGAUCCUUAUAUUUCUAAUUAAUAAUUAAGGAUACGAGGAAAAUGCAGUUUAAAAUUCAACUGCGAUAUGAUGAUAAUAAAAAAAAGAAAAAAAACAGAAACUAUUAUUUAUGAUGUCUGAAUAUUUUAAUAAUCAGAGAUAAAUUACAAUGAUUAUAGAUUUUAUUUUUGAUAGAAUAAUUGUAUAACUUUUAAUGCAUAAAUUAUAGUGCUGUUCAUUAAUUCUGCUCGCUCUACUGCCCUCUGUAAACUUUCUUUUUUUUUGUAUUUAAUACAUUUCUUGGAUAUUUGAGAACAUAAUUCUUUUGUUUUUGUGCCUUCAAUUUCCAGAAACAUUUAAUUGACCAUAAAAUAAGUUUAUGACCUAAUUAAUCAUAAGGAAAUUGGAAGGGAAUAUAUUAAUAAGUUUGCUAUUACUUUAGAAACUUUACUUUUGCUGCUAAUACGAAAUACAAAAGAACGCUACUCAUGAAUCUUCGUGAUGUAUCCAAGAGAAAAAUAAUAUUAAAGUACAGUAGUAAAACAGGUUAAAGGGCGUGUGCAUUGAUGAUGGACAACACUGUAAAGUGUUAAUGGAAUGUUGUUUUGUUUGCUAUACUAUGGUGUUAAUCAUAUUAUACAUUAAUUCCAUUUAAUGCUCGUAGUUUAAUUUAAUAAUUCAUGGAAACAAAAAUUUCAUUCGCAGAAUUUAAAUUAAUUUGUACAAAUUAUAAUAUAUAUUUGUGAUAGAUAUACUUUAUGUCUCAUUUCAUAUAUCAUAUUUUAUUAUAUUGUAUACCAUUGGUAUUUGCUACAUUCUUACUAUACAAUAACGUACGUCACAGCGGUAAAAUCAUAUAUUACGGACAACUAAUAUUUUUCCUAGUAGCAUAUAUUUACUAUUGUAUGUAUGGUGUGUUUUUGUAGUAUGCAACAUAUGCCGACUAAAUCCAGAAUUAUAAUAGAAUCUUAAUCUUCCUAAAGAAUCCGGAGUAAAUUCCUGAGCUAAUCGCUGGAAAAUGUCUGUUAAUAACUAAAGAUGUGUUUUUCGACUUGAUGCGUGAAAUAAGGUCACGCAAGAUCGAAGACAAGUCGGCGAGUAAUGGUCGUGAAAAGGAUCGUGCCAAGCGGAAGAAAAA
RNAcentral lists this unclassified non-coding RNA (1918 nucleotides) under Polistes fuscatus (common paper wasp). Its description in RNAcentral is "ras-related protein Ral-a, transcript variant X6". Lineage: Eukaryota; Metazoa; Arthropoda; Insecta; Hymenoptera; Vespidae. The record is from RNAcentral.